UACGUAGGGGGCAAGCGUUGUCCGGAUUUAUUGGGCGUAAAGAGCGUGUAGGCGGUUAUGCAGGUCCGCUGUGAAAACUGGAGGCUUAACCUCCAGACGUCGGUGGAAACCGUAUGACUAGAGUCCGGAAGAGGAGAGUGGAAUUCCUGGUGUAGCGGUGAAAUGCGCAGAUAUCAGGAAGAACACCCGUGGCGAAGGCGGCUCUCUGGGACGGUACUGACGCUGAGACGCGAAAGCGUGGGGGAGCGA
This 249-nucleotide ribosomal RNA is filed under the name uncultured bacterium. Its description in RNAcentral is "partial 16S ribosomal RNA". It matches the Rfam family "Bacterial small subunit ribosomal RNA", at positions 524 to 771 of the family's 1533-position model. The record is from RNAcentral.